Molecule: non-coding RNA, 134 nt
Organism: Triticum aestivum (bread wheat)
Lineage: Eukaryota; Viridiplantae; Streptophyta; Magnoliopsida; Poales; Poaceae
Source: Rfam
GUAGUACUCCCUCCGUCCGAAAAUACUUGUCAUCAAAAUAAAUAAAGGGGAUGUAUCUAGAUGUAUUUUAGUUCUAUAUACAUUCCUUUUUAUCCAUUUUGAUGACAAGUAUUUUCGGACGGAGGGAGUACUUG